AUCGUGAGACUAUUCCAUCUCAGCCCACAAAAUGGCACUUCGUCUCAUGCCUCCCUUUCCAUCUUUCACCGGUCGAAAUCUGGCCAUCGGAAAAUCGCAGCCGCUGGUUAAACUAAAAAUCUCCUGCUCUUAUCAUUCCAACAAGUGCAAGAAGGAGUAGACGAGCGUGAUGAUAGUGCCGACAGGUGUAGGUACCACCAUCGGUGGAUUCGCCGGCGACGCUUAGCCAGUUGCUCGUGCACUCGCCUCCGUCGUUGAUUGCCUCAUUUCGCACCCUAACGUUAUGCUCUUGAUCGAUUUGCAGAAGGCUUAUGGGCAUUGCAGCCAGUUCACCAAAAUAGAGUGGGGUUGGUUCUUGAUGCUGCAAUAGAGGGGGAGCUUCGACUUCGCCAUUUGCAAGUGGCUGAUGCGACAAGAGCUUCCCUUGGAUUGCCUGUUUUGGAAUAUAUUGUCACUGACACUCCUUUACUGGUAUGCGUCCUUAUCAGCUAUCAGAUUAAAGACUAAUGGAGCCAAAUAUCAACAUACUGCUAAUUGCCCAUAUCUUAAGUGGAGCUAAAGUAAAAGAUGCAUGUUCCAGACAGAUUACAUAACAUGUUUCAUGUGCUGCAGACCUUUCCCUUUGCAAGACAUGUUUUAUGUGCUGCAGGCCUUUCUCUUUGAUGACUAACUGCACUUCUUGUGAGAUGCUUAUUGAUGACAUGGGCAUGAUGCAUUAGACCAAGGGUCAUACACUUGGUGAUUGAUGAGUCAACAUUAUUUGUAUUGUCUAAUUAUGAUCUCUCUUCAUGAGAACUGAUGGACUUUUACAAAGUUUGUAGCAAUGAAAACAUUGCCCCUGCAAUUCAGUAACUUUGCUUUUCUCUUC
Molecule: long non-coding RNA, 868 nt
Organism: Vitis riparia (riverbank grape)
Lineage: Eukaryota; Viridiplantae; Streptophyta; Magnoliopsida; Vitales; Vitaceae
Exons: 4
Source: RefSeq, a predicted model, not a curated record